GGCGGACGGGUGAGUAAUACUUAGGAAUCUGCCCAUUAGUGGGGGACAACUAGAAGAAAUUCUAGCUAAUACCGCAUACGCCCUACGGGGGAAAGCGGGGGAUCUUCGGACCUCGCGCUAAUGGAUGAGCCUAAGUCGGAUUAGCUUGUUGGUGAGGUAAAGGCUCACCAAGGCGACGAUCCGUAGCUGGCCUGAGAGGACGACCAGCCACACUGGGACUGAGACACGGCCCAG
Molecule: ribosomal RNA, 234 nt
Filed under: uncultured bacterium
Lineage: Bacteria
Description: partial 16S ribosomal RNA
Rfam family: Bacterial small subunit ribosomal RNA
Source: RNAcentral